RNAcentral lists this ribosomal RNA (113 nucleotides) under Erinaceus europaeus (western European hedgehog). The record is from RNAcentral. Lineage: Eukaryota; Metazoa; Chordata; Mammalia; Eulipotyphla; Erinaceidae.
GUCUAUAGCGGUAUCUCCCUGAAUAUACCUGAUCUUCUCUAAUCUUAGAAGUUAAGCAGGGCCAAGCUUCAUUAUUAUUUGAAUAGGAGUGAGUUUAUAAAGCACAAUUCACU